Erpetoichthys calabaricus (reedfish) is the source of this 105-nucleotide long non-coding RNA. RefSeq lists it as uncharacterized. NCBI's taxonomy places the organism in Eukaryota, Metazoa, Chordata, Cladistia, Polypteriformes, Polypteridae. The record is from RefSeq and is a predicted model, not a curated record. The transcript has 2 exons.
CUUAGAUCUUCAAAUGAGUGUCUGCUUAUAAUUCCAAGAGCUAAACUUAAAAGAAGUGGUGAGGUGGCCUUUUGCUGUUAUGCACCUAAAACCUGGUAUUCUUUA